Molecule: ribosomal RNA, 521 nt
Filed under: uncultured Comamonadaceae bacterium
Lineage: Bacteria; Pseudomonadati; Pseudomonadota; Betaproteobacteria; Burkholderiales; Comamonadaceae
Description: bacterial SSU rRNA
Rfam family: Bacterial small subunit ribosomal RNA
Source: RNAcentral
AGAGUUUGAUCCUGGCUCAGAUUGAACGCUGGCGGCAUGCCUUACACAUGCAAGUCGAACGGUAACAGCACUUCGGUGGCUGACGAGUGGCGGACGGGUGAGUAAUACAUCGGAACGUGCCCGAUCGUGGGGGAUAACUACUCGAAAGAGUGGCUAAUACCGCAUACGAUCUACGGAUGAAAGCGGGGGAUCGCAAGACCUCGCGCGGACGGAGCGGCCGAUGGCAGAUUAGGUAGUUGGUGGGAUAAAAGCUUACCAAGCCGACGAUCUGUAGCUGGUCUGAGAGGACGACCAGCCACACUGGGACUGAGACACGGCCCAGACUCCUACGGGAGGCAGCAGUGGGGAAUUUUGGACAAUGGGGGAAACCCUGAUCCAGCCAUGCCGCGUGCAGGAUGAAGGCCUUCGGGUUGUAAACUGCUUUUGUACGGAACGAAAAGACUCUUUCUAAUACAGAGGGUCCAUGACGGUACCGUAAGAAUAAGCACCGGCUAACUACGUGCCAGCCGCCGCGGUAAUUC